RNAcentral lists this ribosomal RNA (1412 nucleotides) under Cylindrospermopsis raciborskii T3. Its description in RNAcentral is "bacterial SSU rRNA". It matches the Rfam family "Bacterial small subunit ribosomal RNA". Lineage: Bacteria; Bacillati; Cyanobacteriota; Cyanophyceae; Nostocales; Aphanizomenonaceae. The record is from RNAcentral.
GAUGAACGCUGGCGGUAUGCUUAACACAUGCAAGUCGAACGGGAUGCUUAGGCAUCUAGUGGCGGACGGGUGAGUAACGCGUGAGAAUCUGGCUCCAGGUCGGGGAUAACAGUUGGAAACGACUGCUAAUACCGGAUGUGCCGAGAGGUGAAAGAUUUAUCGCCUGGAGAUGAGCUCGCGUCUGAUUAGCUAGUUGGCGGUGUAAGGGACCACCAAGGCGUCGAUCAGUAGCUGGUCUGAGAGGAUGAUCAGCCACACUGGGACUGAGACACGGCCCAGACUCCUACGGGAGGCAGCAGUGGGGAAUUUUCCGCAAUGGGCGAAAGCCUGACGGAGCAAUACCGCGUGAGGGAGGAAGGCUCUUGGGUCGUAAACCUCUUUUCUCAAGGAAGAAGAAAGUGACGGUACUUGAGGAAUAAGCAUCGGCUAACUCCGUGCCAGCAGCCGCGGUAAUACGGAGGAUGCAAGCGUUAUCCGGAAUGAUUGGGCGUAAAGGGUCUGCAGGUGGAACUGAAAGUCUGCUGUUAAAGAGUUUGGCUUAACCAAAUAAAAGCGGUGGAAACUACAGAACUAGAGUGCGGUAGGGGCAAAAGGAAUUCCUGGUGUAGCGGUGAAAUGCGUAGAUAUCAGGAAGAACACCGGUGGCGAAAGCGUUUUGCUAGACCGUAACUGACACUGAGGGACGAAAGCUAGGGGAGCGAAUGGGAUUAGAUACCCCAGUAGUCCUAGCCGUAAACGAUGGAUACUAGGCGUGGCUUGUAUCGACCCGAGCCGUGCCGGAGCUAACGCGUUAAGUAUCCCGCCUGGGGAGUACGCACGCAAGUGUGAAACUCAAAGGAAUUGACGGGGGCCCGCACAAGCGGUGGAGUAUGUGGUUUAAUUCGAUGCAACGCGAAGAACCUUACCAAGACUUGACAUCCUGCGAAUCCCGGUGAAAGCUGGGAGUGCCUUAGGGAGCGCAGAGACAGGUGGUGCAUGGCUGUCGUCAGCUCGUGUCGUGAGAUGUUGGGUUAAGUCCCGCAACGAGCGCAACCCUCGUUUUUAGUUGCCAGCAUUAAGUUGGGCACUCUAGAGAGACUGCCGGUGACAAACCGGAGGAAGGUGGGGAUGACGUCAAGUCAGCAUGCCCCUUACGUCUUGGGCUACACACGUACUACAAUGCUACGGACAGAGGGCAGCGAGCCAGGGAUGGCAAGCGAAUCCAGAAACCGUAGCUCAGUUCAGAUCGAAGGCUGCAACUCGCCUUCGUGAAGGAGGAAUCGCUAGUAAUUGCAGGUCAGCAUACUGCAGUGAAUUCGUUCCCGGGCCUUGUACACACCGCCCGUCACACCAUGGAAGUUGGUCACGCCCGAAGUCAUUACCCCAACCGAAAGGAGGGGGAUGCCUAAGGUAGGACUGGUGACUGGGGUGAA